CCUACGGGAGGCAGCAGUGAGGAAUAUUGGUCAAUGGCCGUAAGGCUGAACCAGCCAAGUCGCGUGAAGGAAGAAGGAUCUAUGGUUUGUAAACUUCUUUUAUAUGGGAAUAAAAUGUUCCACGUGUGGGAGUUUGUAUGUACCAUAUGAAUAAGGAUCGGCUAACUCCGUGCCAGCAGCCGCGGUAAUACGGAGGAUCCGAGCGUUAUCCGGAUUUAUUGGGUUUAAAGGGAACGUAGGUGGAUUGUUAAGUCAGUUGUGAAAGUUUGCGGCUCAACCGUAAAAUUGCAGUUGAAACUGGCAGUCGUGAGUACAGUAGAGGUGGGCGGAAUUCGUGGUGUAGCGGUGAAAUGCUUAGAUAUCACGAAGAACUCCGAUUGCGAAGGCAGCUCACUGGACUGCAACUGACACUGAGGCUCGAAAGUGUGGGUAUCAAACAGGAUUAGAUACCCCGGUAGUC
This 460-nucleotide ribosomal RNA is filed under the name uncultured bacterium. RNAcentral describes it as "partial 16S ribosomal RNA". It matches the Rfam family "Bacterial small subunit ribosomal RNA", at positions 338 to 795 of the family's 1533-position model. The record is from RNAcentral.